UUGGCUAACGUCAGCCUUCAAAACACCCCAAUGAGCAUCGUCACCUGUUACCAUCAUUUUCUUACUGAUCUAUCACUAACAUUGAUUACUUAAAUAAAAACAAUUUACCUGGCAAGCUAGCGUUAGCUUAAUGUAGUUACUGUUCAGUCACUUAACUUUAGCUAUGUUUUACUUUUUGUUGAAGCUAAAUUGACCAUAAGCCUACCUAACGUUAGCUACAUAAAACUGACAUUAGCAGUUUAUAAUCGGCUUUAACAGGGACUAAACACGUUCGAUGGACAUAUUGAAUCACAUUUGACUUUGAGAUCAAUACAAUUAUCAAUAUCACAAUAAUUUGAUUGGUACUUUUCCGUUUCAUGUUUAUAGCAAGGGCUACUUUGGUAAACUGUUAGUUGUUGUUUGCUUGUUUGUUUCACUAGCUAGUUAUCCCUCAUUAAAAAGGUGGUUCUUGCUAAGAAUAUCACCAUCUUCUACAAAAUGUCAGGAAUACACCGUGUUCAUUGCAAAACAGUAGUUUGCAAUACUAAAAAUACUGCAUCCUCACAAAAGAGCAGUAUUUUUUGUUAGUAGCUUUCACAUAGUGUGUCUGUUUUUAUGUUGGUAUGAUGUAUAGUGGAAGAUCAGAAAACGUGGGCAGGAGUUGGGAGAGAAGGCAAUGCAAAGAUAAAGGACAUCAUACCACAAUAAUAGUUGUGUGUGUGUGUAUAAGCCUGAUCAACAAGUGAAAAGAGUCAGAUAAGAGGAAAGAGUUUGACGACCACUGCUGAAUUGGCCUGCUCAGAGGAAGAGGCACUAAUGAUUCCAGAAAACAGGAAGCCAAAGAAGAAGCCCUACACAGACUUUGAAAUGGAUCUCUCAAUUGCCAUGAUGACCAAGAUAUUCAACGGGGAAAUGUGGAAAGCUGUCAUAUUCCCAGUCAUUACUUUGCCACACGGCCAAUAAUCGAGAGACACCC
Sander lucioperca (pikeperch) is the source of this 955-nucleotide long non-coding RNA. RefSeq lists it as uncharacterized. NCBI's taxonomy places the organism in Eukaryota, Metazoa, Chordata, Actinopteri, Perciformes, Percidae. The transcript has 3 exons. The record is from RefSeq and is a predicted model, not a curated record.